GUGAGUGUCUAGGCAGAGCAGCCAGCGUGGGGUUUAAUGUGAGUGUGUGUUGGAACACUGGGAUACCCCUAGAAGCGGCAUCGUAAGCUCCCCACCUGCAUUCAUUUUACCAGCAGCUGCAGGUUCAGGCUUGUCUCAGAGGAGAAGGGAGUGGGAUGGUGGAUGCCUGGCGUUCUGUGUCACUUCUUCCAAAGGAGUACUUCUCUUCUGGUUACCCAGGAUGAGUUAAAAAUACUUCGACCCCCACCACUUCUGGCAGUGGAGCAGCUUCUCGGACUACGUGCAGUGCGUCCUGGCCUUCACGGGUGUGGCGGGCUACAUCACCUACCUGUCCAUUGACUCCGCCCUGUUUGUGGAGACCCUGGGCUUCCUGGCCGUGCUGACCGAAGCCAUGCUGGGUGUGCCGCAGCUUUACCGCAACCACCGCCACCAGUCCACGGAGGGCAUGAGCAUCAAGAUGGUGCUCAUGUGGACCAGUGGUGACGCCUUCAAGACGGCCUACUUCCUGCUGAAGGGCGCCCCUCUGCAGUUCUCCGUGUGCGGCCUGCUGCAGGUGCUGGUGGACCUGGCCAUCCUGGGGCA
RNAcentral lists this small RNA (582 nucleotides) under Pan troglodytes (chimpanzee). RNAcentral describes it as "processed transcript". The record is from RNAcentral. Lineage: Eukaryota; Metazoa; Chordata; Mammalia; Primates; Hominidae.